This 375-nucleotide ribosomal RNA is filed under the name uncultured bacterium. RNAcentral's name for it is "bacterial SSU rRNA". It matches the Rfam family "Bacterial small subunit ribosomal RNA", at positions 524 to 898 of the family's 1533-position model. The record is from RNAcentral.
UACAGAGGGUGCAAGCGUUAAUCGGAAUUACUGGGCGUAAAGCGUGCGUAGGCGGUUUCGUAAGUCGGGUGUGAAAGCCCCGGGCUCAACCUGGGAAUUGCAUUCGAGACUGCGAAGCUAGGGUGCGGAAGAGGGAAGCGGAAUUUCCGGUGUAGCGGUGAAAUGCGUAGAUAUCGGAAGGAACAUCAGUGGCGAAAGCGGCUUCCUGGUCCAGCGCCGACGCUCAGGCACGAAAGCGUGGGGAGCAAACAGGAUUAGAUACCCUGGUAGUCCACGCCAUAAACGAUGAGAACUAGACGUUGAGAGGGUAAGCCUCCCAGUGUCGAAGCUAACGCGAUAAGUUCUCCGCCUGGGGAGUACGGCCGCAAGGUUGAA